Molecule: small nucleolar RNA, 75 nt
Organism: Python bivittatus (Burmese python)
Lineage: Eukaryota; Metazoa; Chordata; Lepidosauria; Squamata; Pythonidae
Product: small nucleolar RNA SNORD5
Source: RefSeq, a predicted model, not a curated record
GUUCACGUGAUGACUGUUUUUCAGUUCAACUGCUGAAUGAUUCACCAAUGAACUAAAUCUAACACUCUGAUCAGA